UGAAUGCAGUACAGGUGAUUCGUUCUUUCCUUGGAUUGAACGCAAGCUUCUCGAGAGAUUGUUCAUAUUUCCCAAAGCUAGCAGAUAUUCGGAUUCUAGGUGAACUGAAAUCGGCUCGGAACACUUGUUGUGCCGAGAAUUAUGAAAGAGAAAACGGAACCUCUACAAAGAGCAAAGAUGACUAGAUAAGACUUGGCUGAUGAUACAACCGGAUGUGUGUGAUUUUGAAGUGUCCAGAGUCAGCAAGAAGAGAAGGAAAAUAUGGGGCAAUGAUACUACUUUUAGACAAUGGGAGUGAUGGACACAUCAAUGAAAGGUGAAGAUAUAUAUGCAGGCAAUCCAGGAACUUCUACAAAAAUCAUCUCAUACCGAAAAUUGGUUGGAAAAAGAGUGCGUGAUCACCUGUCGUAGUUACAAUAGGCAAUUGUCCAUUUUCAAGCCUGUUCAUCAAAGCUUUGAUGGGGAUUCCUUAGAUUUCUCUGUCAAGUCUGUGAAGUGGCUUGGUUCUGUUCGAUUUCCUUUCUGGUGCCGUCUUUAGUCACUGGAGGCUAUGGAAGCUUUGUGCAUUGACUUGA
Long non-coding RNA from Eucalyptus grandis, 575 nucleotides. RefSeq lists it as uncharacterized. The record is from RefSeq and is a predicted model, not a curated record. The transcript has 2 exons. Lineage: Eukaryota; Viridiplantae; Streptophyta; Magnoliopsida; Myrtales; Myrtaceae.